GGAUUCAACGCCGGAAAUCUCACCGGGAGCGACGGUUAUAUGAAGGCCAGGCUAAUGACUUUGCCUAAUUUUCCGAGAGGUGGUGCAUGGCCGUCGUCAGUUCGUACCGUAAGGCGUUCUGUUAAGUCAGAUAACGAACGAGACCCCUACCUUUAGUUACUAAUGGCUUUUCCGAAAGUCAAGGACGCUAGAGGGACCGCUGGCGCUAAGUCAGAGGAAGGAAGGGGCCGCGGUAGGUCAGUACGCCCCGAAUCUCCCGGGCUACACGCGCGCUACAAAGGUUGGGACAAUGGGCUACAACCUCGAAAGAGGAAGUUAAUCCCGAAACCCAACCAUAGUUCGGAUUGAGGGCUGCAACUCGCCCUCAUGAAGCUGGAAUCCGUAGUAAUCGCCUGUCAACAUCAGGCGGUGAAUAUGCCCCUGCUCCUUGCACACACCGCCCGUCAAACCAUCCGAGUUGGGUUUGAGUGAGGGUAAAGUUUUUGCUUUGCUCGAACUCGAAUUCAGCAAGGAGGGUUAAGUCGUAACAAGGUAUCCGUAGGGGAACCUGCGGAUGGAUCACCUCCUAU
Molecule: ribosomal RNA, 569 nt
Filed under: archaeon
Lineage: Archaea
Description: bacterial SSU rRNA
Rfam family: Archaeal small subunit ribosomal RNA
Source: RNAcentral